AGGGAAAUAAUGUUUUGCACGACCCAGG
RNAcentral lists this small RNA (28 nucleotides) under Bombyx mori (domestic silkworm). RNAcentral's name for it is "ovarian small RNA-12209". Lineage: Eukaryota; Metazoa; Arthropoda; Insecta; Lepidoptera; Bombycidae. The record is from RNAcentral.